This 425-nucleotide ribosomal RNA is filed under the name uncultured bacterium. RNAcentral describes it as "bacterial SSU rRNA". It matches the Rfam family "Bacterial small subunit ribosomal RNA", at positions 355 to 796 of the family's 1533-position model. The record is from RNAcentral.
UUAGGAAUUUUGUGCAAUGGGGGAAACCCUGACACAGCCACGCCGCGUGCGGGAUGAAGGCCUUCGGGUCGUAAACCGCUUUUCUCGAGGAAGACACCCGACGGUACUCGAGGAAUAAGCAACGGCUAACUACGUGCCAGCAGCCGCGGUAAUACGUAGGUUGCGAGCGUUGUCCGGAUUUACUGGGCGUAAAGCGCGCGCAGGCGGUUUCGAAAGUCCACGGUGAAAGCUCCCGGCCCAACUGGGAGAGGCCCGUGGAAACUCCGGAACUUGAAGGCAGGAGAGGCAGAUGGAAUUUCCGGUGUAGCGGUAAAAUGCGUAGAUACCGGAAGGAACACCAGUGGCGAAGGCGAUCUGCUGGCCUGUUCUUGACGCUCAGGCGCGAAAGCUAGGGGAGCGACCGGGAUUAGAUACCCGCGUAGUCC